CCCGAAUGGGGAAACCCAGUGUGACUCGUCACACUAUCAUUAACUGAAUCCAUAGGUUAAUGAGGCGAACCGGGGGAACUGAAACAUCUAAGUACCCCGAGGAAAAGAAAUCAACCGAGAUUCCCCCAGUAGCGGCGAGCGAACGGGGAGGAGCCCAGAGCCUGAAUCAGCAUGUGUGUUAGUGGAAGCGUCUGGAAAGGCGCGCGAUACAGGGUGACAGCCCCGUACACAAAAGCGCAUGUGCUGUGAGCUCGAUGAGUAGGGCGGGACACGUGGUAUCCUGUCUGAAUAUGGGGGGACCAUCCUCCAAGGCUAAAUACUCCUGACUGACCGAUAGUGAACCAGUACCGUGAGGGAAAGGCGAAAAGAACCCCGGCGAGGGGAGUGAAAAAGAACCUGAAACCGUGUACGUACAAGCAGUGGGAG
RNAcentral lists this ribosomal RNA (426 nucleotides) under Salmonella enterica. RNAcentral describes it as "partial 23S ribosomal RNA". It matches the Rfam family "Bacterial large subunit ribosomal RNA", at positions 113 to 579 of the family's 2925-position model. Lineage: Bacteria; Pseudomonadati; Pseudomonadota; Gammaproteobacteria; Enterobacterales; Enterobacteriaceae. The record is from RNAcentral.